This 77-nucleotide transfer RNA is filed under the name Candidatus Omnitrophota bacterium. RNAcentral's name for it is "Candidatus Omnitrophica bacterium tRNA-Arg". It matches the Rfam family "tRNA". From Rfam's summary of the family: Transfer RNA (tRNA) molecules are approximately 80 nucleotides in length. Their secondary structure includes four short double-helical elements and three loops (D, anti-codon, and T loops). Lineage: Bacteria; Pseudomonadati; Candidatus Omnitrophota. The record is from RNAcentral.
GCCCCUGUAGCUCAGAAGGAUAGAGCAUCGGUUUCCUAAACCGAGUGCCGGACGUUCAAAUCGUCUCAGGGGCACCA